GAAACCUCCCACACCCCAAAAGCACAUCCGUGUGAAGCUGCACUAUAACAUGAAGGGGUUCGUGACUCCCCUGGUUCCACAGUGACUGCUGAUUAAAGAGACUGCAUUCAUUUAUCAUCAGUCAAGCUGGAACAGGCACUAUACACUUCUAGACCAUUUUCCUGUGAUUCUCAGGAGGGCCGAGUCUCAGCACCAGAGUUUGAGCCAAGGUUUCAGCACUUCCGCUCUUUAGGUUAGAUAUGGCUAGCUGAAUGUCCUUAUGCCCUAACAUCUUCAUGAUCUUGAGUAGCAAGCAUUCUCAAAGGCAAAGACUCUCUGAGGAAAUCCAUAGAGGAGUCCAAGAUGAAACCAUCAGCUGUGACAAUAGGGUAGGAUACCAAGCACUCUAGAGCCUGGUUUGGGGGACCUCCUUGGAAGCAAGGGAGAGAAAGAACAAGCCUACGUGUUUGUUUAUUGUGCUCACCUGAAAGAAAGAACUAUGACCUGGGAAAGGAAACACUUAACAGUCCUGAGCUUUUGUUCUGCAUGAAAAUUAAGUGCUAACAUCUUGGUGAAGUGUGUGAAGUCUAGAAGCCAAAUGAAAACAACUUCAGACACAAGCUGUGGAGGUCUCACAAGCCAUCUCUUUCCUGUGCACAUGUGUGUGUGUUAUUUUCAACUCCAACCCCUUCCAUUUCUGGGUUCUCUGUGUACCAGUGUGGCAUUGAUCCUGUGGCCUUGUUCAGACAGUUUAUGUUCAGUUCAUUUGUCCCACCAUGUCCCUGAUGGAGGGGACCUUAAUUAUCUGCCUCUGUGAAUUAUCUCGUGAGUAGCCAGUCAUUGAAGACCAUACAUAAGUAAAGUCAUAGAGAGCUCAAGGAAGAGAGAGCUUGUUUAAUCAUCUGCUUCAUCAGUGCCAAUUUUUAUAUACUAUGAUGUGUAAUGAUUUGUUCCAAAUUACUUGUUUUGGGGAAAGAAACAAAGAAUGUUUUAUAAAAAUGGCCAUGGAGGUCUCCUGAUUAACCGCCAUGUUUUAUAUUUACUGUUAGGAACUGGUAGAUUUGAAUGGAGUGCUCAGAAGCAAGAGGGUAAUUGUCAUGGCCAAUUUGUGUGUCUACAAGCCAAAAGGAGGGCAGUCAGAGUAUGGCACUUAUGAGAACUGGAUGUUUCUUUAAAGUUGAAGCUUCCGGGGCCAGUUACUAUUUAGCACUUUGAAAGUCCCCCCUUUAAAAAAAAUAUAUAUAUAUAUAAUAUACAUAUACCAGAAUAAUGAAAUGGGGGGUGUACUUGUGAAAACACAAAACUGUGUUUCUUCUGAAUGUUACAAUUGUAUUUUAAAACCUGGUUUCUAUAGAUAACAUUAUGGUAGAUCACUGGAUAGUCCCUCUCUUUCUUUUUUCCGCAGCUGUACCGUCUAAUCUUCCUGGAUGUUUGGGCUGUUUGAUUUCUUUAAAGAUAAUAAGCAUUAUCCAGUUAUCCAUCAUGCUCUAUCUAUAGGCUAUGCCAUGUGACAUAUUGGGCAAUGCUGUAUUAUGAAAACACAUGUAAACCUCUCUGUAACCUGUGUUUAACCCAGCAUAGUUGUAGCAUGUGGUUGUAUUAAUGAACGUUACAGGCCAGCUUUAUAAUUAUUUAUAAAUCUGUAACAUUCAAUAAAGAAGCACAUGUGGCAAGGAUUAAUUAUGCUCCC
Molecule: long non-coding RNA, 1669 nt
Filed under: Rattus norvegicus (Norway rat)
Lineage: Eukaryota; Metazoa; Chordata; Mammalia; Rodentia; Muridae
Description: long non-coding RNA NONRATT001608
Source: RNAcentral